Molecule: ribosomal RNA, 446 nt
Filed under: uncultured bacterium
Lineage: Bacteria
Description: bacterial SSU rRNA
Rfam family: Bacterial small subunit ribosomal RNA
Source: RNAcentral
UCCAGACUCCUACGGGAGGCAGCAGUGGGGAAUAUUGCACAAUGGGGGAAACCCUGAUGCAGCAACGCCGCGUGAGUGAAGAAGUCAUUCGUGAUGUAAAGCUCUAUCAGCAGGGAAGAAAAUGACGGUACCUGACUAAGAAGCCCCGGCUAACUCCGUGCCAGCAGCCGCGGUAAUACGGAGGGUGCAAGCGUUACUCGGAAUCACUGGGCGUAAAGAGCGCGUAGGCGGGAUAGCAAGUCAGAUGUGAAAUCCUAUGGCUUAACCAUAGAACUGCAUUUGAAACUGUUAAGCUAGAGUGCUGGAGAGGUAAGCGGAAUUCCUAGUGUAGCGGUGAAAUGCGUAGAUAUUAGGAAGAACACCAGUGGCGAAGGCGGCUUACUGGACAGUAACUGACGUUGAGGCUCGAAAGCGUGGGGAGCAAACAGGAUUAGAUACCCCCGUAC